Molecule: transfer RNA, 54 nt
Filed under: Pseudophacopteron aewagriini
Lineage: Eukaryota; Metazoa; Arthropoda; Insecta; Hemiptera; Phacopteronidae
Description: tRNA-Ser
Source: RNAcentral
GAAUUUUUAAGAGAGAGCUGCUAACUACCUCGAAGCUGUAAUGUUAAAUUCCUA